GAUGAACGCUGGCGGCGUGCCUAAUACAUGCAAGUCGAGCGAACAGACGAGGAUCUUGCUCCUCUCACGUUAGCCGCGGACGGGUGAGUAACACGUGGAUAACCUACCUAUCAGACUGAUAUAACUUCGGGACACCGGCGCUAAUACCAGAUAAGCUAUUGCACCGCGUGGUUCAAUAGUUAAAUACGGUUUUGCUGUCACUUCUAGAUGCAUCCUCGCCGCAUUAGCUAGUUGUUAAGGUAACGGCUUACCAAGGCAACGAGGCGUAGCCGACGUGAGAGGGUGGUCGGCCACACUGGAACUGGGACACGGUCCAGACUACUACGGGAGGCAGCAGUAGGGAAUCUUCCGCAAUGGGCGAAAGCCUGACGGAGUAACGCCGCGUGAGUGAUGAAGGUCUUCGGAUCGUAAAACUCUGUUAUUAGGGAAGAACAAAUGUGUAAGUAACUAUGCACGUCUUGACGGUACCUAAUCAGAAAGCCACGGCUAACUACGUG
Molecule: ribosomal RNA, 497 nt
Filed under: uncultured bacterium
Lineage: Bacteria
Description: partial 16S ribosomal RNA
Rfam family: Bacterial small subunit ribosomal RNA
Source: RNAcentral